GGUCAGGAUGAACGCUAGCUACAGGCUUAACACAUGCAAGUCGAGGGGCAGCAUGUGGUUGCUUGCAACCAAUGAUGGCGACCGGCGCACGGGUGAGUAACGCGUAUCCAACCUCCCCCUUAGUAGAGGAUAGCCCGGCGAAAGUCGGAUUAAUACUCUAUGUUCUUCAAUGCGGACAUCUAAGUUGAAGCAAAGAUUUAUCGCUAAGGGAUGGGGAUGCGUCUGAUUAGGUUGCAGGCGGGGUAGCGGCCCACCUGGCCUACGAUCAGUAGGGGUUCUGAGAGGAAGGUCCCCCACACUGGUACUGAGACACGGACCAGACUCCUACGGGAGGCAGCAGUGAGGAAUAUUGGUCAAUGGGCGCGAGCCUGAACCAGCCAAGUAGCGUGCCAGGACGACUGCCCUAUGGGUUGUAAACUGCUUUUAUCAGGGAAUAAAGUGAGGCACGCGUGCCUUUUUGUAUGUACCUGAUGAAUAAGGACCGGCUAAUUCCGUGCCAGCCGCCGC
RNAcentral lists this ribosomal RNA (507 nucleotides) under uncultured bacterium. Its description in RNAcentral is "bacterial SSU rRNA". It matches the Rfam family "Bacterial small subunit ribosomal RNA", at positions 22 to 518 of the family's 1533-position model. The record is from RNAcentral.